This 665-nucleotide ribosomal RNA is filed under the name uncultured bacterium. RNAcentral describes it as "bacterial SSU rRNA". It matches the Rfam family "Bacterial small subunit ribosomal RNA", at positions 202 to 859 of the family's 1533-position model. The record is from RNAcentral.
GACGUAAGCUACCGCAUAGGGAGGGGUCUGCGUACCAUUAGCUAGUAGGUGGGGUAAUGGCCCACCUAGGCGACGAUGGUUAGCGGGUCUGAGAGGAUGAUCCGCCACACUGGCACUGGAACACGGGCCAGACUCCUACGGAAGGCAGCAGUGAGGAAUAUUGCGCAAUGGGGGCAACCCUGACGCAGCGACGCCGCGUGAGUGAGGAAGGCCUUCGGGUCGUAAAGCUCUGUCAAGAGGAAAGAAGUGCAUGGCGGUUAAUACCCGUUGUGUUUGACGGUACCUCUAAAGGAAGCACCGGCUAACUCCGUGCCAGCAGCCGCGGUAAUACGGAGGGUGCAAGCGUUGUUCGGAAUCACUGGGCGUAAAGGGCGCGUAGGCGGCUUGAUAAGUCAGAUGUGAAAGCCCACGGCUUAACUGUGGAAGUGCAUUUGAAACUGUCAGGCUUGAGUACCAGAGGGGAAAGUGGAAUUCCCGGUGUAGAGGUGAAAUUCGUAGAUAUCGGGAGGAAUACCGGUGGCGAAGGCGACUUUCUGGCUGGAUACUGACGCUGAGGCGCGAAAGCGUGGGGAGCAAACAGGAUUAGAUACCCUGGUAGUCCACGCCGUAAACGAUGUGAACUAGAUGCAGGUGGUGUUGAUCCCAUCUGUGUCGCAGCUAACGCA